RNAcentral lists this non-coding RNA (24 nucleotides) under Arabidopsis thaliana (thale cress). The record is from RNAcentral. Lineage: Eukaryota; Viridiplantae; Streptophyta; Magnoliopsida; Brassicales; Brassicaceae.
UUUCCAACACAUCUUCCACAUGCC